GGCUACAGAACGAACGCUGGCGGCGCGCUUAAGCAUGCAAGUCGAACGGCAAGAGGUAGCAAUACCUCCUAGAGUGGCGGACUGGUGAGUAACACGUGGGUGACAUACCCUUCAGGAUGGGGAUAGCUAUUAGAAAUAGUAGAUAAUACCGAAUACGAGCACAGGGGUUAGAGAUCUGUGAGGAAAGGAGCCAAGGCUCCGCUGAAGGAAUGGCCUGCGGCCCAUUAGCUAGUUGGUGAGGUAAGAGCCCACCAAGGCGAUGAUGGGUAUCCGGCCUUAGAGGGUGAACGGACACAUUGGGACUGAGAUACGGCCCAGACUCCUACGGGAGGCAGCAGCUAAGAAUAUUCCGCAAUGGACGAAAGUCUGACGGAGCGACGCCGCGUGGAUGAAGAAGGCCGGAAGGUUGUAAAAAUCCUUUUGAAACUGAAGAAUAAGCGUUGUAGGGAAUGACAGCGUGGUGACAGUAGGUUUUGAAUAAGCAACGGCUAAUUACGUGCCAGCAGCGGC
This 510-nucleotide ribosomal RNA is filed under the name uncultured bacterium. Its description in RNAcentral is "bacterial SSU rRNA". It matches the Rfam family "Bacterial small subunit ribosomal RNA", at positions 26 to 518 of the family's 1533-position model. The record is from RNAcentral.